This is a small nucleolar RNA of Cyprinus carpio carpio, 138 nucleotides long. NCBI's taxonomy places the organism in Eukaryota, Metazoa, Chordata, Actinopteri, Cypriniformes, Cyprinidae. The record is from Ensembl.
GCCUGGUGGUUCCUUGAGGCAGCUCAUCUGUGCUGAUCCAUGGGGUUUAAUUUAACAGGCACAUAUCGAUCUCUGCGAUUUAAUGCUUGGAAGUUGCCAUUCCCAUGCAGCUUCCACAGCCCGGUUGCAGAAACAUGU